This 21-nucleotide non-coding RNA is filed under the name Caenorhabditis elegans. Lineage: Eukaryota; Metazoa; Nematoda; Chromadorea; Rhabditida; Rhabditidae. The record is from RNAcentral.
UAUGUCUCUAUCAUUAAAAUG